UACGAAGGGUGCAAGCGUUAAUCGGAAUUACUGGGCGUAAAGCGCGCGUAGGUGGUUGUGUAAGUUGGAUGUGAAAGCCCCGGCGUACUGGACGUGCAUUCAAACUAGCACGGCUAGAGUACGGAGAGGGGUAGGAAUUCCAGGUGUAGCGGUGAAAUGCGUAGAGAUCUGGAGGAAUACCGAUGGCGAAGGCAAUCCCUGGGCUGCACUGACGCUCAUGCACGAAAGCGU
Molecule: ribosomal RNA, 231 nt
Filed under: uncultured bacterium
Lineage: Bacteria
Description: partial 16S ribosomal RNA
Rfam family: Bacterial small subunit ribosomal RNA
Source: RNAcentral